UACGUAGGUGGCAAGCGUUGUCCGGAUUUACUGGGCGUAAAGCGUGUGUAGGCGGACCUUUAAGUAGAAAGUGAAAGGUUGGAGCUCAACUCCAACACUGCUUCCUAUACUGGAGGUCUUGAGUGCCGGAGAGGAAGAUGGAACUGCACGUGUAGCGGUGAAAUGCGUUGAUAUGUGCAGGAACACCAAUGGCGAAGGGCAAUCUUCUGGGACGGGAUACUGACGCUGAGACACGAAAGCCA
Molecule: ribosomal RNA, 242 nt
Filed under: uncultured bacterium
Lineage: Bacteria
Description: partial 16S ribosomal RNA
Rfam family: Bacterial small subunit ribosomal RNA
Source: RNAcentral